Non-coding RNA from Leptonychotes weddellii (Weddell seal), 284 nucleotides. Lineage: Eukaryota; Metazoa; Chordata; Mammalia; Carnivora; Phocidae. The record is from RefSeq and is a predicted model, not a curated record.
CGCCCAGCCCCGCCGAGAGGGGCGCACUCGCCGCCGCGGGGUCCGCGGCCGCUCACCGCACCCCCCUCCUGGCGACCCGCAAGUUAUUUCAAACUGUAAGUGCAUCAUUCCAGCAGCAAAGCUGAAAUUCCCAGUGGUCUUGUCUACUUGACCUACUCAUUCCCUGUUCUGAAAUCUAGAGAAAACUUCUCCACAAGACUCCUCCAUAAAUUGCUGCAAUGUCUGUAUCUAAUUUAUCGUGAUGGAGAGGAAGGAGACUUGAAGAAUAUGGGGAAGGAAAGAUU